UAUCUCUGUAGAGUCUGCAUAUCAAUAAGCGGAGGAAAAGAAACUAACUAGGAUUCCCUUAGUAACGGCGAGUGAAGCGGGAAGAGCUCAAAUUUGAAAUCUUCAAGGUUCUACCUUGACGAAUUGUAGUUUAAAGAAGUGUUUUCUGUUGGAGUUUUGGUAAAAGUUCUUUGGAAUAGGACAUCAUAGAGGGUGAGAAUCCCGUAUUUGACCAUUACUUUCCAGCUGUGUGAUACACUUUCAAAGAGUCGGAUUGUUUGGGAAUGCAGUCCAAAAUGGGUGGUAAAUUUCAUCUAAAGCUAAAUAUUGGCGAGAGACCGAUAGCGAACAAGUACCGUGAGGGAAAGAUGAAAAGAACUUUGAAAAGAGAGUUAAACAGUACGUGAAAUUGUCAAAAGGGAAGCGUUUGACACCAGUGUUGUUUUCUCGAAAAUCAAUUCAUAAUAAUGAGAAUGUUAGUUGUAUUGACCUUAUCAGCUUUCUGCUUAAUUUUUCUGUAUUUUUAUGAAUGCACUUCUCGUUUAACAAGUCAACAUCAAUUUCUUUUGUUGUAAAAGGAGUAAUAGGAAGGUGGCUUAUCUUCGGUUAGAAAGUGUUUAUAGCCUUUGAUCUCUGCAAUCGGAGAGAUUGAGGUCUGCAGCGUAGAUCCUUCGGGAUUAGAUGACAUUUGUGCUAAGUUAUAGCUUUGUAUAGACAACUUGUUGACUAUAUUUAGUCUUGUAACUUACUCGCUUAUGCUAUUUUACCUACGCUUAGGAUGUUGAGUAGCGACAUACGCAC
This 780-nucleotide ribosomal RNA is filed under the name uncultured Neocallimastigales. RNAcentral describes it as "partial large subunit ribosomal RNA". It matches the Rfam family "Eukaryotic large subunit ribosomal RNA", at positions 24 to 649 of the family's 3401-position model. Lineage: Eukaryota; Fungi; Neocallimastigomycota; Neocallimastigomycetes; Neocallimastigales. The record is from RNAcentral.